RNAcentral lists this ribosomal RNA (429 nucleotides) under uncultured bacterium. RNAcentral describes it as "bacterial SSU rRNA". It matches the Rfam family "Bacterial small subunit ribosomal RNA", at positions 355 to 776 of the family's 1533-position model. The record is from RNAcentral.
UUAGGAAUAUUCGUCAAUGGGGGAAACCCUGAACGAGCAAUGCCGCGUGAAGGAAGACGGUCCUCUGGAUUGUAAACUUCUGUUGUUAGGGAAGAACGACCAUUAUAGGAAAUGAUAAUGGAGUGACGGUACCUUUCAAGAAAGCUCCGGCUAACUACGUGCCAGCAGCCGCGGUAAUACGUAGGGAGCGAGCGUUAUCCGGAAUUAUUGGGUGUAAAGCGUGUGUAGGCGGGAAAUUAAGUCUAAGGUCUAAGCCCGGAGCUCAACUCCGGUUCGCCUUAGAAACUGAUUUUCUUGAGUGUGGUAGAGGCAAACGGAAUUUCUAGUGUAGCGGUAAAAUGCGUAGAUAUUAGAAGGAACACCAGUGGCGAAGGCGGUUUGCUGGGCCACUACUGACGCUGAGACACGAAAGCGUGGGGAGCAAAUAGG